Molecule: ribosomal RNA, 265 nt
Filed under: uncultured bacterium
Lineage: Bacteria
Description: partial 16S ribosomal RNA
Rfam family: Bacterial small subunit ribosomal RNA
Source: RNAcentral
UCUUAGUGGCGGACGGGUGAGUAACCGCGUGGGUAACCUGCCCCAUACCGGGGGAUACCACCUGGAAACAGGUGCUAAUACCGCAUAAGCGCACGGGAGCGCAUGCUCCUGUGUGAAAAACUCCGGUGGUAUGGGAUGGACCCGCGUCUGAUUAGCCAGUUGGCAGGGUAACGGCCUACCAAAGCGACGAUCAGUAGCCGGCCUGAGAGGGUGGACGGCCACAUUGGGACUGAGACACGGCCCAAACUCCUACGGGAGGCAGCAG